CAAGUCGAACGGAACUCUUCGGAGUUCAGUGGCGGACGGGUGAGUAACGCGUGAGAAUCUGCCUAGAGGAUGGGGACAACCACGGGAAACUGUGGCUAAUACCCAAUGAGCGGAGACGUUAAAGAUUUAUCGCCUCUAGAGGAGCUCGCGUCUGAUUAGCUAGUUGGUGGGGUAAAAGCCUACCAAGGCGACGAUCAGUAGCUGGUCUGAGAGGACAACCAGCCACACUGGGACUGAGACACGGCCCAGACUCCUACGGGAGGCAGCAGUGGGGAAUUUUCCGCAAUGGGCGAAAGCCUGACGGAGCAAUACCGCGUGAGGGAGGAAGGCUCUUGGGUCGUAAACCUCUUUUCUCAGGGAAGAAGAAAGUGACGGUACCUGAGGAAUCAGCCUCGGCUAACUCCGUGCCAGCAGCCGCGGUAAUACGGAGGAGGCAAGCGUUAUCCGGAAUUAUUGGGCGUAAAGCGUCCGUAGGUGGCUCUUCAAGUCUGCUGUCAAAGAGUGGGGCUUAACCCUGCAAAGGCAGUGGAAACUGAAAGGCUAGAGAGCCGUAGGGGUAGAGGGAAUUCCCGGUGUAGCGGUGAAAUGCGUAGAGAUCGGGAAGAACAUCGGUGGCGAAAGCGCUCUACUGGACGGUAUCUGACACUGAGGGACGAAAGCUAGGGGAGCGAAUGGGAUUAGAUACCCCAGUAGUCCUAGCCGUAAACGAUGGAUACUAGGCGUGGCUUGUAUCGACCCGAGCCGUGCCGGAGCUAACGCGUUAAGUAUCCCGCCUGGGGAGUACGCACGCAAGUGUGAAACUCAAAGGAAUUGACGGGGGCCCGCACAAGCGGUGGAGUAUGUGGUUUAAUUCGAUGCAACGCGAAGAACCUUACCAGGGCUUGACAUGUCGCGAAUCUCCGGG
RNAcentral lists this ribosomal RNA (904 nucleotides) under uncultured Family 3.1 bacterium. RNAcentral's name for it is "bacterial SSU rRNA". It matches the Rfam family "Bacterial small subunit ribosomal RNA", at positions 58 to 1003 of the family's 1533-position model. The record is from RNAcentral.